Molecule: ribosomal RNA, 429 nt
Filed under: Actinomycetes bacterium
Lineage: Bacteria; Bacillati; Actinomycetota; Actinomycetes
Description: Actinobacteria bacterium partial 16S ribosomal RNA
Rfam family: Bacterial small subunit ribosomal RNA
Source: RNAcentral
UAGGGAAUCUUCCGCAAUGGGCGAAAGCCUGACGGAGCAACGCCGCGUGAGUGAUGAAGGUCUUCUGAUCUUAAAACUCUGUUUUUAGGGAAGAACAAAUGGGUACGUAACUAUGCACGUCUUUACGGUACCUAAUCAGAAAGCCACGGCUAACUACGUGCCAGCAGCCGCGGUAAUACGUAGGUGGCAAGCGUUAUCCGGAAUUAUUGGGCGUAAAGCGCGCGUAGGCGGUUUUUUAAGUCUGAUGUGAAAGCCCACGGCUCAACCGUGGAGGGUCAUUGGAAACUGGAAGACUUGAGUGCAGAAGAGGAAAGUGGAAUUCGACGUGUAGCGGUGAAAUGCGCAGAGAUAUGGGAGAACACCAGUGGCGAAGGCGACUUACUAGGCUGGAACUGACGCUGAUGGGCGAAAGCGUGGGGAGCAAACAGG